This 106-nucleotide microRNA precursor is filed under the name Marmota monax (woodchuck). The record is from RNAcentral. Lineage: Eukaryota; Metazoa; Chordata; Mammalia; Rodentia; Sciuridae.
CCAAAUAUUACCUGAGGAAUCUUAUGAAAAUACAGAUUGUGAUUCUAGAGGUCUGGGGCAAGGCCUGGGAUUCUGCAUUUCUAAUGAGUUCCCAGGGGAUGCCUAU